Long non-coding RNA from Monodelphis domestica (gray short-tailed opossum), 506 nucleotides. NCBI's taxonomy places the organism in Eukaryota, Metazoa, Chordata, Mammalia, Didelphimorphia, Didelphidae. The record is from Ensembl.
UAUUGCAUGAGAUGACUGACUGAACUGACCCCUGAUCUCAUAUGUGUUCCCUCUAGGCUAGAAAAUUAGAUCGCAAUAGUUAGAAGAAUUAUAAUCUUGGCCCUGGCAAGCCUGGAAAAAGCAUCAUGGCAAGCCUAAAGGAAAUCAACACACAGAAGCAAGGAAGAGACCUUUGGACAUGCAAAGGUCUCAGCUUCCUGGAGAAAUUGGACUUCAAAAGUUCUUCCCCUUAUAAAUCUUGCAAUCCCACCUAAGGAUAGGAACACAACAGAACAACUCAUGUUGACUUUGCUUCCAUUUCUCUACCAAAAGAAACAAUCUGUUAACUCUGAAAAGUAAAACAAAACAAAACAAAACCAAAAAAAAGGAUAAUAAGCAAGCUGAUGCCUGAGGUAAGUGAGAAGGUAGCAAGAGAGCAAUUUACUGUCAUCGAUGAAAUCAAAUCACAUGCCAAAUGAAUUACUCUCCAGGAUAUCGAAAAGAAACCUAAUGACUUCAAAUUCCAA